Long non-coding RNA from Brassica napus (rape), 3466 nucleotides. RefSeq lists it as uncharacterized. NCBI's taxonomy places the organism in Eukaryota, Viridiplantae, Streptophyta, Magnoliopsida, Brassicales, Brassicaceae. The record is from RefSeq and is a predicted model, not a curated record. The transcript is spliced from 9 exons.
UAGAUUAGCAAGGCCCAUAGUGAGAUACAACAUAGAGGCGGCUUACGGAAUUAGGGGUUCCAUUAUCUUCUUCGAUCUGCUCGGACCAUAACCAGCAAAAGAGAUAUACUAUGCCGUCUCAGCCGAAUCAUCUCGAAGAGAUUUUAUGUCGUGUUGCAAUUUCGUCUUUUGGUCUUCAUUGAUUGAAUCCUCAGAGAUGGUACGUUUUGUCUGGAUUUAACGCUUUUAUGAAUCUUCCCUAACUCCAUCGAGAACGACGUCCUCAUUCAAUGAAUAUCCUGCCAGAGGCGGUAUAUCUCAGCUUAUAAAUAUGUGGCCACCGUUCUCCUAUCGUCGAAGUGAGGCUUCUGAGAUUUUGGGAAGCUAGAACCUUCAAACGUGGUGGGGAGUUGAUGGGGUGGAUAUGCCUCUCCUUAUGCCAAGGUUUUCCGAUCUUUGACAAUUUCACGUUCAGUUUCCUUAAAGUCGGUGCAUCUGAAGCUAUAUAUAUAGGCUAAAUCUCAGAAACAUGGAGGCAGAGCAGGGGGCAGAGGAACUGAAAAGUCUCAAUCAUAAUAGGGUUGAACUUGAGAGGUUACGCCGAGCGGAUGGUCAAUAGGGAGAAGUUAGAACGAGAGUUGGCUAUUUCCUCCCAUGAGAUACUUGCUGCCAGAAGGGUUCACGCUGCACGUUUAGUACUGGUCCGUGAUACAUUUCUCCUCUCGAAGUUUUGUCCGACUCAGCGACAACGUCAACAAAAGAUUAUCGAGAUAGUAAUAUAUCCGGCAGGGAAGCAAUGCAGAGCUCAGAUGAUAUCACCAUCAACAGCACAGCCUCUGUUAAGCGUCUGAGGUAAAGGUCCCAUUGUUGUGAGGAAAACUUAUUGUUCUCUCCUCGAUCCAUCCCUUGAAGAACACACAGCUUCCUCUCUGUGUGUUUCCUCUUCCAAACUUUUUUUUAUCAUACUUUAAAUUUUUAUCUUUCAACAGGUUCAAAUAUGUUGAUACGAAACUGAGGUGAACUCAGGGCAAAUAUAGAAAGCAGAUGUGGAAAAAUCAAAGAAAUGACUUUUUAUAAAAUGAUCAGAUUGUUGCAGUGUAACAGCGUUUUCCUACUGUAAAACAUUGCAGUAUCACAUUCACUGUUUAUCAUUUUCUAUUACUCCUCAAGCUUUUUUUUUUUGCCAUUGAAAAACUAUUUACUUAGUAAACUCAAAGUAUGCUUCUAAAUUUUUAUGUCUUUUAAGGACGACUGGUUUUUCCGCUAUUUUUGAGUCUAAAUCAGAAAAACCUCCGAGCAGACCUGUAUAACAAUGUAUGUGACGCCGUUGAAACUGGCGAUGCGGAUGCUACACAAGUUGGUAAGAAGAUCAUCCUCCCUUCGUCCUUCACUGCUGGACCCCGGUACAUGUCUGAAAAGUAUUAGGACGCAAUGGCUAUAUGCCGUUGGUAUGGGAAUCCUCAUCUCUUUAUCACUGUCACUGCUAAUCCUAAUUGGGUGGAACUCAGUAACCAUCUUGAUGCGUAUGGAGGUGAUUCCGCUAAUAGCCGACCUGACCUAGAAUGUCGGAUCUUCAAAAUCAAGCUUGAUGAGAUGAUGGCAGAUUUCAAAAAGGGAGAGUUCUUCCCUACGCUGGACGCAGGUAAAAAAACUAUAAAUAGACUUACAAACGCAACUUUUGUGGUUGGUAGCGGUUGUCGGCGGUUUGCAACAAUCAUUCAAAUCGCUUUAAACCGUUUCAAACCGUUCCGAAUUUCAUAAAUUCAAAAGCUGGCUCCAGAGUUUUCCGCUACCAACCGCUUGAAAUUCUCGAGAGUUUUGGUUUUUAUUAAAUAUCUAAUGUUUAUAAUAUUUAUAUGCUAAAAUAUACAUACGAAAUAUAUAAUUAAGAUUAAAAAUUAAACAAAAAUCCCGGGCUAUCCUAGUCUAUUAUAUAAUAGUGUUUGCCUUUUUUCGAAGGGGUCUGCGUCAGAUGCCAAAUCACAAAUUCGAAGCUUCAGUAGUAGACACGUGUCCCUCUCCUCUAAAUACUCUGCGUUUCAUUAAGUAACCAACGACAUUUAUUGGGUUUAGUUGAGUUUUGGUCUUCACGCUUUACUCAAGUGACCGAGCCCAAUAUUGAGUAACCUUUAUCUCCUCUACCGCGUCUGAUCGAAAUUUAGGGUUCGUCUAUUGGUGGAUUCGAUUAGGCCGGUUGAGAUUCUUCUUCAUUAGUCGAAAUGCUUCCGUUUCAUCCCAUUUAACCUCUUCUUAACUCGAACAAUCACUAUAUAGCCAUCAAUGUGAAGUUCCGUCUUGCGAGGCGGUGUAUCUGCCCGUAUAAAAAGGUCAGGUUUCCUCCUCUGAAAACCAUCUCCUCAAUCCCUCAAAACUAACCAUUAAACUUAUUUUCUGAGAACUGGCUAGAGCAUCAAUUUUCCUUUUUGAUUUGAAGACCGAAUCGACGAUGCUCCUCCACCGUUGAAUUGCGGUUGAUCCGUUUCUGGGAGGCAAGGAACGUCUUGAGGCGGUGGCAAACUCAGGCGAGUGGAUAAGCUCAUACUGGAUUCACAGGCAACCAUUGCUGCGACUUGCUUGCUUGGAAAGCCUGCAAUGAUAAUCAUGACAUACCAGAAGAUGUAGAUAUAUCGUUGUAAAUCGAACCUUCAACUUGAUCACUUCUUGACGGUUGUAACAACUAUAAACGCAAGACGGGUCAAAGCAGAGAAUAUAUGCACACUCAUCAUGAAGUACGCAGAGAACCGGUUGCCACUAAUCGAAGAUGAUUUGGAAAUAAUACGAGGUUACACCGUUACAGGUCAAGAAACAUUGAGUUGCAGUUCAAUGUUGAACGAGAGAGAACAGAGGAAAGAAGUUUAGAAUGUUAAGAACAAAAGCUUAGUAACAUGUGCUUCAUACACAACCUGGAACAGUACCAUGCCAGUUUCUGUUGAGCUAGGCUCGCAUAUUUCGAUGGUGACUACCGGCCAAGCGCAGCAGAGGAUCUUAUACAUAUACCAAAUAAGUCAAUAAGAAGAUGGCACAAAGAGAAAGAAGAAAGCAAUGAUCAAGAAAACAAUUACCAAAAAGGCUCUAAAAGCUUCUGCACAGACUGAUUUAUCUGGGAAUGCUUCCAAGGAUCUGCUGCAAAUGCAUAAAGUAAUCUUUACUUUCUAUAAAGUAAUUUAUUAUCUUUUUUGUUCGUUUGUUUUCCUUUUGCGACAACUGAGGACUUUAUUGCUGUCCACUUGCAAACUUCUUGCACAUAUUGCUGUGCGGUGAUGGUAUCUUGAAUCGUUGGGUAUGCAGUCGGUGCAAAUACUGUCAGAUUUGUGAUAAGUGUUAUGAGGCUAUACAGAGGCGUGAAGACAUGAAGACAUCCUGUUAAUUUCAAUAAUACACAUUCAUUAUAAACCGAUGUCCAAAUAUAUAGAAAUUUUUUUGUAAUGCUCAGGUUUAAUUAUUAGAAUAUGAUAUUUUUACUAAUUAGAGUUACAUUUUUCAAAUA